This 465-nucleotide ribosomal RNA is filed under the name Vreelandella stevensii. Its description in RNAcentral is "partial 16S ribosomal RNA". It matches the Rfam family "Bacterial small subunit ribosomal RNA", at positions 338 to 795 of the family's 1533-position model. The record is from RNAcentral. Lineage: Bacteria; Pseudomonadati; Pseudomonadota; Gammaproteobacteria; Oceanospirillales; Halomonadaceae.
CCUACGGGGUGCAGCAGUGGGGAAUAUUGGACAAUGGGCGAAAGCCUGAUCCAGCCAUGCCGCGUGUGUGAAGAAGGCCUUCGGGUUGUAAAGCACUUUCAGUGGGGAAGAAAGCCUUGGGGCUAAUACCCUCGAGGAAGGACAUCACCCACAGAAGAAGCACUGGCUAACUCCGUGCCAGCAGCCGCGGUAAUACGGAGGGUGCGAGCGUUAAUCGGAAUUACUGGGCGUAAAGCGCGCGUAGGCGGUCUGAUAAGCCGGUUGUGAAAGCCCCGGGCUCAACCUGGGAACGGCAUCCGGAACUGUCAGGCUAGAGUGCAGGAGAGGAAGGUAGAAUUCCCGGUGUAGCGGUGAAAUGCGUAGAGAUCGGGAGGAAUACCAGUGGCGAAGGCGGCCUUCUGGACUGACACUGACGCUGAGGUGCGAAAGCGUGGGUAGCAAACAGGAUUAGAUACCCGAGUAGUC